Molecule: ribosomal RNA, 774 nt
Filed under: uncultured Neocallimastigales
Lineage: Eukaryota; Fungi; Neocallimastigomycota; Neocallimastigomycetes; Neocallimastigales
Description: partial large subunit ribosomal RNA
Rfam family: Eukaryotic large subunit ribosomal RNA
Source: RNAcentral
UCAGACGAUGCGUCAUGCAUAUCAAUAAGCGGAGGAAAAGAAACUAACAAGGAUUCCCCUAGUAACGGCGAGUGAAGCGGGAAGAGCUCAAAUUUGAAAUCUUAAAGGGUUUCCCUUUACGAAUUGUAGUUUAAAGAAGUGUUUUCUGUUGAGGUUUUGGUAAAAGUUCUUUGGAAUAGGACAUCAUAGAGGGUGAGAAUCCCGUAUUUGACCUUUACUUUCAACUUUGUGAUACACUUUCAAAGAGUCAGAUUGUUUGGGAAUGCAGUCCAAAAUGGGUGGUAAAUUUCAUCUAAAGCUAAAUAUUGGCGAGAGACCGAUAGCGAACAAGUACCGUGAGGGAAAGAUGAAAAGAACUUUGAAAAGAGAGUUAAACAGUACGUGAAAUUGUCAAAAGGGAAGCGUUUGACACCAGUGUUGUUUUUCUGAAAAUCAAUUAAAGAACUGUUUAUGCUAAGUUGUUUAGACUUUAUCAGCUAACUGUUUAGUUUUGAGCUUUUCUUUAAUGCACUUUUCAGUUAACAAGUCAACAUCAAUUUCUUUUGCUGUAAAAAAGCUUGAGGAAGGUGGCUUGAGAUUCGUCUUAAGUGUUUAUAGCCUCUUGCCUAUGCAGUCGGAGAGAUUGAGGUCUGCAGCGUAGAUCCUUCGGGGCUAAAUGCAUUUGUGCUAAGUUAUAGCAUUUUAUAGACAACUUGUUGACUAUGAUUUGUCUUGUAGCUUACUCGCUUAUGUUAUUUUACCUACGCUUAGGAUGUUGAGCGCAUGUCUCUCUCU